RNAcentral lists this transfer RNA (67 nucleotides) under Hiatula diphos (diphos sanguin). Its description in RNAcentral is "Soletellina diphos (diphos sanguin) tRNA-Gln". The record is from RNAcentral. Lineage: Eukaryota; Metazoa; Mollusca; Bivalvia; Cardiida; Psammobiidae.
UGCGAGAUGGUGUUUUGGCACAUGAAGUUUUGGACUUUGAGGUGGUAGGUUAUUCUAUCUCUUGUAG